CGUAGGUGGCAAGCGUUGUCCGGAUUUAUUGGGUUUAAAGGGUGCGUAGGCGGCCCUAUAAGUCAGUGCUGAAAUAUCCCGGCUUAACCGGGAGGGUGGCAUUGAUACUGUAGGGCUUGAGUGUAGUCGAGGUAGGCGGAAUUGACGGUGUAGCGGUGAAAUGCUUAGAUAUCGUCAAGAACACCGAUAGUGUAGACAGCUUACUAGGCUACAACUGACGCUGAGGCACGAAAGUGUGGGGAUCAAACAGGAUUAGAUACCCUGGUAGUCCACACUGUAAACGUUGAUUACUCGAUGUUGGCGAUACACAGUCAGCGUCUUAGCGCAAGCGAUAAGUAAUCCACCUGGGGAGUACGCCGGCAACGGUG
Molecule: ribosomal RNA, 368 nt
Filed under: uncultured organism
Description: bacterial SSU rRNA
Rfam family: Bacterial small subunit ribosomal RNA
Source: RNAcentral